GUAUGCAUGAUUGCAUGUCUUAAAUUGAAGAUCAUUGUGGAACACAUUGAAAGUAUGCAUAACAUAGGUGUUAUUUUCAAUCAAAUGAUCAUUUCAUUGAUUGAAUUCUUCCUUUUUAACAGAAACUUGGAUCUUGUCUCCCUAAAAAAAUAUGGUUAGUAACCGAAAUAGCCACAUAUAAAUGUUUUUUUAUGUAAUAUUACCUUCCAGUCCAUCAAUAUCAUUGCUAGAUGUCCGGGUUUAGGUGGAAGUUAAACAUACCAAAUUUCUGUAAUUCUAACAGCUACCUUCCACAGGUGCUUUGAGUCAUUCAAAUCCCUUACCAGCUCGAAC
Molecule: long non-coding RNA, 333 nt
Filed under: Lupinus angustifolius (narrow-leaved blue lupine)
Lineage: Eukaryota; Viridiplantae; Streptophyta; Magnoliopsida; Fabales; Fabaceae
Description: long non-coding RNA (LANG_LNC002627)
Source: RNAcentral